Molecule: long non-coding RNA, 1846 nt
Organism: Canis lupus familiaris (dog)
Lineage: Eukaryota; Metazoa; Chordata; Mammalia; Carnivora; Canidae
Exons: 3
Source: RefSeq, a predicted model, not a curated record
AAGCAAACUUCGGAAGAAUCCUGUGUCUUAUUAUCUCAGAGAGUCCCCAUGAGAGCAGGGCUUUAUCCACGUUAGUACUAUUUGACACCUUCCUCCCCAAUCCUGGGAUGCAUUUGACUAUAAAGGGCAUCUUACCUUGUGGAGACCUUGCUCAGUCCUUCUAGAGCUAUCCAGGUGACAUGACCUCAUGACUGGUCUUUGGAAUUCACUCUCAUCCCUCACACCUUAGUACUUUUACAGAAUUAUCCAGCUUGUACUGGAAUUGGUAUGAACACAGAACAAUUACCAAACAUAUUGCAAUGGCCAACUAUAGUUAUUCUAAAACCGGGGAGAAAAAAAAGAUAAUGACUGAGCAGCUGGGUGAAGUAUCUUCAGCUUCUCUGUUGGAAGAACCAUAAAAGAAGGAGGGUGAAGAGUAAGUAGUCCCUUGAGAGAUUCAACAGAGGCAAGAGCAAACAAGCUUGGUGAACCCUGCCCUAGACAUGUACCCAAGUCCCGCAUUUUUAUGGGCAUGCACACUGAGGCAGUGGCUUUGCUACUACAGUCACCAGCUGUCUCGGGAGGCUCUUUGGGGGAGAAUUGCUCAUCACCCCAACUGGGCUACACACUACAGAGGAAACUGCCCUCUGCUAGUGUGAGAAGUGCUGAGACAAGACUUUGCUGCCAGGCAGGAGCUGGCUGAAUGCAAUUUCCUUGUGGAGUGUCUAAGCCAUAAUUGGAUACUUGCAAAAGCUUCUGCUGGUGAUGGUGUCCAUGUUGCUAUUGCUGGGAAUCAUGAGAAGUGAGGAGCAAUCUCAACGGGAGCACACAGAACACUCUACAAUCCAAGGAGCUCACCACCGUGUCACCAGCUAUAACUCGGUCCUUUUCUCCCCCUGCUGAGUAGAAGAGAUUAGAAAGCCUGAAACUAUAAUGGAACACCAGAGGUCACCAAGAGGAGAGGAAACCAAGGUCUAAAUGAGACAAGAGAGGGAAGAAAAUAAACUUAUUUUGGAAAGCUUUGUUAGGAGUAGAAUCGGAAAAACCAGAACAAAUGAUCAACAAAGAAGCUGCAAGCAGAAUCAGGGAACAACCUGAUGGUGGCCAGAAGGAAGAGGGCUGAGCGGAUGGACAAAGUGGGAGAAGGAGAGUGUGAGAUAAAGCUUCCAGUUAUGGAAUGAAUAAGUCACCCGAUUAAAAGAAGCCAAAAGACACUGUGAGUCAGAGGGAGAUGGUGCUCAGCUUUCCACGCGGUGCCAGAUUUCUCCAAUGAAUCCAAACUGCCUUCCAUUAUGACUCCAAGGGUGCCAUUCGAGUAUGAAUCACAUAUUAACAGAUUGGCCAGAAUACUGCAGAGAAUAAGUUUGAUUUGGGUUGAAAGGCAAGAGCUCCGUACCAUGCCAGAUUCAUCCACUUACAGAGAGCUUAAGGACUGUGCGUAUCAUACCUUUGUCAUGAGGUGCCAGAGUUUGAGGCUCAAUACCAUGAACUUGGAUGAAUCUGUGACAGAUGCUUGUCAUUCACAGCUGUCUUUGCCUUCAAAACCACUAAUAAAUAAUGGUCAAGGAAUGCAUCUCCAGAGUGGCAAAGAAUUAUGUGCUCUGCACUCUCCAAUGACAUCCUUUAAGGGGGACUGUUUUGCCUUUGAAUCAUGCAAACUCUCGGAGGAAGAAUCAUUCUGCACAAAAGCGUAUAAAGAGUAACUAGAAAUGGGGAAUAAUCAAUUGGAAUCGGAGUGGCUGCUCUGGAUUCCGGCUUCAGGGCAAAGUCCAAAGCUAAAAAUACAUUUUUUACACUAUACCCCACAUUCUUCAGAUCCAUAAUUUACAGCCCCUUUCUAUACUAUAUUAAUUAAUGUCUUUAUCUA